GCAAGUCGAACGAAGUAGCAAUACUUAGUGGCAGACGGGUGAGUAACAUGUAGGCAUCUGCCCUUUGGCCUGGAAUAACACGAGGAAACUUGUGCUAAUACCGGAUAAGUCUUUACGGAGAAAGCUUUAUGCACCAUUGGAUGAGCCUGCACUUGAUUAGUUUGUUGGUAGGGUAAUGGCCUACCAAGACUGUGAUCAAUAGCUGAUUUGAGAGGAUGAUCAGCCACAUUGGGACUGAGACACGGCCCAAACUCCUACGGGAGGCAGCAGUGGGGAAUCUUGCACAAUGGAGGAAACUCUGAUGCAGCGAUGCCGCGUGAGUGAAGAAGGCCCUUGGGUUGUAAAGCUCUUUCGUCGGGGAAGAAAAUGACUGUACCCGAAUAAGAAGGUCCGGCUAACUUCGUGCCAGCAGCCGCGGUAAUACGAAGGGACCUAGCGUAGUUCGGAAUUACUGGGCUUAAAGAGUUCGUAGGUGGUUGAAAAAGUUGGUGGUGAAAUCCCAGAGCUUAACUCUGGAACUGCCAUCAAAACUUUUCAGCUAGAGUAUGAUAGAGGAAAGCAGAAUUUCUAGUGUAGAGGUGAAAUUCGUAGAUAUUAGAAAGAAUACCAAUUGCGAAGGCAGCUUUCUGGAUCAUUACUGACACUGAGGAACGAAAGCAUGGGUAGCGAAGAGGAUUAGAUACCCUCGUAGUCCAUGCCGUANACGAUGUGUGUUGGACGUCGGAAAUUUAUUUUCAGUGUCGCAGCGAAAGCGAUAAACACACCGCCUGGGGAGUACGACCGCAAGGUUAAAACUCAAAUGAAUUGAC
This 809-nucleotide ribosomal RNA is filed under the name uncultured marine bacterium. RNAcentral's name for it is "bacterial SSU rRNA". It matches the Rfam family "Bacterial small subunit ribosomal RNA", at positions 57 to 914 of the family's 1533-position model. The record is from RNAcentral.